This 103-nucleotide microRNA precursor is filed under the name Marmota monax (woodchuck). The record is from RNAcentral. Lineage: Eukaryota; Metazoa; Chordata; Mammalia; Rodentia; Sciuridae.
AGUGGGAUAGCAGGGUCAAAUGGUGAUUCCAUUACAAGUUUUCCAAGGAAUCUCCAUACUGCUUUUCAGAUUAGCUGCACCAAUUUGCUCUCCCACCAGCAAU